GUGCUUGCUUUGGCAGCACAUACACUAAAAUUGGAAUGAUACAGAGAUUAGCAUGGCCCCUGCACAAGGAUGACAUGCCAAUUCAUGAAACAGUCCAUAUUUUU
This is a small nuclear RNA of Capra hircus (goat), 104 nucleotides long. NCBI's taxonomy places the organism in Eukaryota, Metazoa, Chordata, Mammalia, Artiodactyla, Bovidae. The record is from Ensembl.